GUCUACGGCCAUGCUACCCUGAACAAGCCCCAUCCCGUCUGAUCUUGGAAGCUAAGCAGGGUCGGGCCUGGUUAGUACUUGGAUGGGAGACCACCUAGGAAGACCAGGUGCUAUAGGUG
This 119-nucleotide ribosomal RNA is filed under the name Pteropus alecto (black flying fox). The record is from RNAcentral. Lineage: Eukaryota; Metazoa; Chordata; Mammalia; Chiroptera; Pteropodidae.